MicroRNA precursor from Bison bison bison, 68 nucleotides. NCBI's taxonomy places the organism in Eukaryota, Metazoa, Chordata, Mammalia, Artiodactyla, Bovidae. The record is from Ensembl.
GGGGCUUGGGAGGGUCUCAGAAGCAGGAACUUUUGCUCCUUUCCUCUGAGAUCUUGCUAGGCGCUCCC